Molecule: ribosomal RNA, 498 nt
Filed under: uncultured bacterium
Lineage: Bacteria
Description: bacterial SSU rRNA
Rfam family: Bacterial small subunit ribosomal RNA
Source: RNAcentral
CGAACGCUAGCGACAGGCUUAACACAUGCAAGCCGAGGGGCAGCAUAAAAGUAGCAAUACUUGGUCGGCGACCGGCGCACGGGUGAGUAACGCGUAUGCAACCUACCUAUCAGAGGGGAAUAACCCAGCGAAAGUCGGACUAAUACCGCAUAAAACAGGGGCACCGCAUGGUGAUAUUGUUAAAGAAAUUCGCUGAUAGAUGGGCAUGCGUUCCAUUAGGUAGUUGGUGAGGUAACGGCUCACCAAGCCGACGAUGGAUAGGGGAACUGAGAGGUUGGUCCCCCACACUGGUACUGAGACACGGACCAGACUCCUACGGGAGGCAGCAGUGAGGAAUAUUGGUCAAUGGGCGGGAGCCUGAACCAGCCAAGUCGCGUGGAAAAGGAAGAAGGAUCUAUGGUUCGUAAACUUCUUUUGCAGGGGAAUAAAGUGCAGGACGUGUCCUGUUUUGUAUGUACCCUGAGAAUAAGGAUCGGCUAACUCCGUGCCAGCAGCGGC